Non-coding RNA from Pelobates cultripes (western spadefoot toad), 226 nucleotides. Lineage: Eukaryota; Metazoa; Chordata; Amphibia; Anura; Pelobatidae. The record is from the annotation of a GenBank genome assembly.
CAUGAUGGAAAUAUUCCGUCAUGCAGGUCUUUAACUUCUGAAGCCGUGUCCUUAAGGGGUUAAAUCCCUGUAGCCUCACAAACAGCAGAAGGCUACCUGCAGAGCAACGUUUAAGCCCUGUGUCUUCAUUUGCACUUCAUGCUUUCAACAGCUCUAAUCUGCAGGGGUAACUUUUAAACACACUAAGUACCUGAAGGAAAGCAUGACAUCCCUAAAUCCAGCAAAG